This 23-nucleotide non-coding RNA is filed under the name Cricetulus griseus (Chinese hamster). The record is from RNAcentral. Lineage: Eukaryota; Metazoa; Chordata; Mammalia; Rodentia; Cricetidae.
ACAGAGAAGUGUCACUGUGGACU